GUCUUCGGACUGGUGAUGAGCGGCGUCCGCUCCGGCGGUGCCGCUGUCACCGGGAAGAUGACCGAACUUGAUCAUUUAGAGGAAGUAAAAGUCGUAACAAGGUUUUCGUAGGUGAACCUGCGGAAGGAUCAUUA
Molecule: ribosomal RNA, 134 nt
Filed under: Belostoma angustum
Lineage: Eukaryota; Metazoa; Arthropoda; Insecta; Hemiptera; Belostomatidae
Description: partial 18S ribosomal RNA
Rfam family: Eukaryotic small subunit ribosomal RNA
Source: RNAcentral